GCCUGUUUAGCGUAGUGGUUAUCGCGUUCCACUUGUAAUGGAAAGGUCCUUCGUUCAAAUCGGGGAAUGGGCA
Molecule: transfer RNA, 73 nt
Filed under: Stereum hirsutum FP-91666 SS1
Lineage: Eukaryota; Fungi; Basidiomycota; Agaricomycetes; Russulales; Stereaceae
Description: tRNA-Thr (TGT) (tRNA-Thr-TGT-2-1)
Rfam family: tRNA
About the family: Transfer RNA (tRNA) molecules are approximately 80 nucleotides in length.
Source: RNAcentral